CGAAUUCGCCCUUACAAGGUUUCCGUAGGUGAACCUGCGGAAGGAUCAUUG
Molecule: ribosomal RNA, 51 nt
Filed under: Bactris riparia
Lineage: Eukaryota; Viridiplantae; Streptophyta; Magnoliopsida; Arecales; Arecaceae
Description: partial 18S ribosomal RNA
Source: RNAcentral